AUGUGGGAGGAAUGCUUGCCUCAUAUUGAAUUUGCUUAUAAUCGUUCAUUGCAUUCUACUACUAAGAUGUGCCCUUUUGAAGUUGUGUAUGGUUUCCUACCUCGUGCACCUAUUGAUUUGUUGCCUCUUCCAUCUUCGGAGAAGGUUAAUUUUGAUGCUAAACAACGUGCUGAAUUGAUUUUAAAAAUGCAUGAGUUAACUAAGGAAAACAUUGAGCGCAUGAAUGCUAAAUAUAAACUUGCUGGAGAUAAGGGUAGAAAACAUGUUCUGUUUGCACCUGGAGAUCUUGUUUGGUUACAUUUGCGUAAGGAUAGAUUUCCUGAUUUGCGCAAAUCAAAGUUAAUGCCACGUGCUGAUGGUCCCUUUAAGGUGUUAGAGAAAAUAAAUGAUAAUGCAUAUAAACUUGAGCUGCCUGCAGAUUUUGGGGUUAGUCCCACUUUUAACAUUGCAGAUUUGAAGCCUUAUUUGGGUGAGGAAGAUGAACUUCCGUCGAGGACGACUUCAUUUCAAGAAGGGGAGGAUGAUGAGGACAUCAAUACAAUUGUUACACCCACAGCCCCUGCUGCUAUACAUACUGGACCAAUUACUAGAGCUCGUGCACGCCAACUAAAUUACCAGGAAACAAACCCUCGUGGUCAGGUUGAUCGUGCUCCGGCGUGGUCAAUAACCUCUCGGAGUUGGUUUAGCGAUUGCUAA
RNAcentral lists this ribosomal RNA (696 nucleotides) under Triticum aestivum (bread wheat). Its description in RNAcentral is "partial small subunit ribosomal RNA". The record is from RNAcentral. Lineage: Eukaryota; Viridiplantae; Streptophyta; Magnoliopsida; Poales; Poaceae.